AUUGAACGCUGGCGGCAGGCCUAACACAUGCAAGUCGAGCGAGCGGCGGACGGGUGAGUAAUGUAUGGGGACUGCCCGAUAGAGGGGGGUAACUACUGGAAACGGUGGCUAAUACAGCAUACUAUCGGAUAACCCAUAUGGGAUUAGCUAGUAGGUGAGGUAAGGGCUCACCUAGGCGACGAUCCCUAGCUGGUCUGAGAGGAUUAUCAGCCACACUGGUACUGAGACACGGCCCAGACGCCUACGGAGGCAGCAGUGGGGAAUAUUGCACAAUGGGCGCAAGCCUGAUGCAGCCAUGCCGCGUGUAUGAAGAAGGCCCUAGGGUUGUAAAGUACUUUUGGCAGAGAAGCGUUAUCUGCAGAAUAAGCACCGGCUAACUACGUGCCAGCCGCCGCGGUAAUUC
Molecule: ribosomal RNA, 403 nt
Filed under: uncultured bacterium
Lineage: Bacteria
Description: partial 16S ribosomal RNA
Rfam family: Bacterial small subunit ribosomal RNA
Source: RNAcentral